RNAcentral lists this ribosomal RNA (253 nucleotides) under uncultured bacterium. Its description in RNAcentral is "partial 16S ribosomal RNA". It matches the Rfam family "Bacterial small subunit ribosomal RNA", at positions 524 to 776 of the family's 1533-position model. The record is from RNAcentral.
UACGAAGGGGGCUAGCGUUGUUCGGAAUUACUGGGCGUAAAGGGCGCGUAGGCGGCCUUCUAAGUCAGACGUGAAAUCCCCCGGCUUAACCUGGGAACUGCGUCUGAUACUGGGAGGCUCGAGUAUGGGAGAGGGAGGUAGAAUUCCAGGUGUAGCGGUGAAAUGCGUAGAUAUCUGGAGGAAUACCGGUGGCGAAGGCGGCAUCCUGGACCAUUACUGACGCUGAGGCGCGAAAGCUAGGGGAGCAAACGGG